Non-coding RNA from Camellia sinensis, 657 nucleotides. Lineage: Eukaryota; Viridiplantae; Streptophyta; Magnoliopsida; Ericales; Theaceae. The record is from RefSeq and is a predicted model, not a curated record.
UUUGGUUGCUUCAAUCUCCUUCAGUUUGCUUCUCUCUAUCUCUCUCGGUCUUUGAAUCUCCCUAUAAAUACUUAUCUAGCUUUCUCAUAUUCCAUCUAUAAUUUUGGAUCAUUUAUGAUCUAUCUAUGCAUCCUUAGGUUUGCAGGUUUUGAGUUCAAGUUAUAAGUUUUGCGGUAAACAUUCAAUUGAAAUGCAAGCUGAAACCCUAGCAUCUUUUGCACACUCAGCAGGCCAAACUAGUGUUGUCGCCGUUUCUUCUGCAAGGACUUGUAUUCUAAGGUCUGCUGAAUAUGGCCAAUCGUAUUCUAAGGUCCAUGAUAAAGCUACACAGGAAGUGAGCUCUUAGACGUGCUGUCCUGGAACAAAAGCACCUGAUUUAGAAGAAGAUGAUAAAUUCUAUGAGGACUUCAAUAUGAAUGAAGUUGACUUGAAUAUUGAGAACUAUGAAGAAAUAUUUGGUGUAGCUCUUAAUGAUCCAGAACAACUGUUUGGUAACGAUGGAAUUGGUAGCUUGUUAGGAGUAAAGGACAUGUCCGAUGCUGAUUUGAACCAUCGAGGCACAUAUGCAGCUGAUUUGAACCAUCCUUAUUAUUCUCAUCAGCUAUAAUCGGCUCAUUUGUUUGUUGUUUUAGUUCUUCAUCUCUUUCUGCUUUACAA